CAAUAGCGUAUAUUAAAGUUGUUGCAGUUAAAAAGCUCGUAGUUGGAUUUCUGGUUGAAGCGACCGGUCGGGCGUUGAUUCGUCUGCACUGGAGUCGGUUUUGGCCAUCCUCCAGGAAAGUGCGUCUGGUAUUAAGUUAUCGGGCGUAUGAUCCUGGUCUUUUACUGUGAAAAAAUUAGAGUGUUUAAAGCAGGCCUUCGCCUUGAAUACAUUAGCAUGGAAUAAUAAGAUAGGACUUUGGUCUAUUUUGUUGGUUUGCAGACCGAAGUAAUGAUUAAUAGGGAUAGUUGGGGGCACCUGUAUUGCGUUGUCAGAGGUGAAAUUCUUGGAUUUACGCAAGACAAACAGCUGCGAAAGCGUCUGCCAAGGAUGUUUUCAUUAA
RNAcentral lists this ribosomal RNA (382 nucleotides) under uncultured eukaryote. RNAcentral's name for it is "partial 18S ribosomal RNA". It matches the Rfam family "Eukaryotic small subunit ribosomal RNA", at positions 592 to 976 of the family's 1831-position model. The record is from RNAcentral.